Molecule: ribosomal RNA, 253 nt
Filed under: uncultured bacterium
Lineage: Bacteria
Description: partial 16S ribosomal RNA
Rfam family: Bacterial small subunit ribosomal RNA
Source: RNAcentral
UACGGAGGGCGCAAGCGUUGUUCGGAAUUACUGGGCGUAAAGCGCGUGUAGGCGGCCAGGUAAGUCGGAUGUGAAAGCCCGGGGCCCAACCCGGGAACUGCACCCGAUACUGGCUGGCUGGAGUUCCGGAGAGGAUGGUGGAAUUUCCGGUGUAGAGGUGAAAUUCGUAGAUAUCGGGAGGAACACCAAUGGCGAAGGCGGCCAUCUGGACUGUGACUGACGCUGAGACGCGAAAGCGUGGGGAGCAAACAGG